AUUGAACGCUGGCGGCAUGCCUUACACAUGCAAGUCGAACGGCAGCACGGGUGCUUGCACCUGGUGGCGAGUGGCGAACGGGUGAGUAAUACAUCGGAACAUGUCCUGUAGUGGGGGAUAGCCCGGCGAAAGCCGGAUUAAUACCGCAUACGCUCUACGGAUGAAAGCGGGGGCCCUUCGGGCCUCGCGCUAUAGGGUUGGCCGAUGGCUGAUUAGCUAGUUGGUGGGGUAAAGGCCUACCAAGGCGACGAUCAGUAGCUGGUCUGAGAGGACGACCAGCCACACUGGGACUGAGACACGGCCCAGACUCCUACGGGAGGCAGCAGUGGGGAAUUUUGGACAAUGGGCGAAAGCCUGAUCCAGCAAUGCCGCGUGUGUGAAGAAGGCCUUCGGGUUGUAAAGCACUUUUGUCCGGAAAGAAAUGCUUGGCCCUAAUACGGUCGGGGGAUGACGGUACCGGAAGAAUAAGCACCGGCUAACUACGUG
This 486-nucleotide ribosomal RNA is filed under the name uncultured bacterium. Its description in RNAcentral is "partial 16S ribosomal RNA". It matches the Rfam family "Bacterial small subunit ribosomal RNA", at positions 30 to 507 of the family's 1533-position model. The record is from RNAcentral.